GCGUUGUUCGGAAUUACUUGGCGUAAAGCGCGCGUAGGCGGCUUUGUAAGUCAGAGGUGAAAGCCUGGAGCUCAACUCCAGAACUGCCUUUGAGACUGCAUCGCUAGAAUCGUGGAGAGGUGAGUGGAAUUCCGAGUGUAGAGGUGAAAUGCGUAGAUAUUCGGAAGAACACCAGUGGCGAAGGCGACUCACUGGACACGUAUUGACGCUGAGGUGCGAAAGCGAG
Molecule: ribosomal RNA, 226 nt
Filed under: uncultured bacterium
Lineage: Bacteria
Description: partial 16S ribosomal RNA
Rfam family: Bacterial small subunit ribosomal RNA
Source: RNAcentral